UAAAUUUUAUUUAUAUAAAUAUUGGUAUUGCAUAUCAUUAGAGGAAAAUUUCAUUUUAUGAAUUAUAGAAAUACAAGGUAGAGGGAUAAAUAGUUUUAUUGUUUCAUAAUAAAAAUAAUUAUUACCUAGAGUUGAUAUGUCGACUUGUAUGAUAACUGUAUAUUUUAUUAUAUUAGAAAAUUAUAUAAAUUGUUUUUUAUAUUGGAAAAAUAAAAUUUGAAGUGUUUAAAUUUUAUGUUUUACAACAUUUUCCGAUUUUUUUUUAUUUUUCUUUAAUUAAGUUAAUAAAACUUUAUUAACUAUAUAAUCUCUAAAUUAGUAAAAAUUUUAAAUUUAGUUUAAAUAUAGAAUAUAAUUGAAGAACUUGAAGUCUUGAUCAAAUGUUUUUUAAAGACUUAGGCUUUAAUUUAAAGCUGGCUUCUGCCCUAUGAAAUUUAAAUGGCAGUCUUAGCGUGAGGACAUUAAGGUAGCAAAAUAAUUUGUGCUUUUAUUGAGUUCCAGUAUGAAUGAAGUUAUUGGUUAGUUCUAUUUAUAUUUUAUUUUUGAAUUUAAUAUUUGUUUAAGAAAAAACAAAUACACUUACACAAAGAUAAGUCUUCGGAAAUUCUGUUAUCAUUUAUUCAUUAGUUUAUUUGAUAAAUUUUCUAGGGCAGAAUAUUAUAUAAUAGUAUUUCACUAUUGUUAAUUUAAAGAAUUACUCCGGAGUUAACAGAAAAUCAUACCUAAUCUAGUUCUUAUAGUAAGGUAAGUUUUACAUCGAUGUUGUAUUCAGGUAUUCUAAGAGAGGAGAAGAUUUAGUAAUUUAGACUGUUCUUCUAUUAAGUAACCUGACGUGAUAUUAGUUUAAUUCAUUGUGAGAUAGAAUUGUUUAUCUUGGUAAGUGUUUAUAUUUAAGGCAUUUAGUACGAAAGGAACAUUGUAAAAGUUUUAAACUUUAAAGAUUUUAAAAUCUUA
RNAcentral lists this ribosomal RNA (954 nucleotides) under Caenorhabditis plicata. RNAcentral describes it as "16S ribosomal RNA". The record is from RNAcentral. Lineage: Eukaryota; Metazoa; Nematoda; Chromadorea; Rhabditida; Rhabditidae.